CGGUGUUUAACUGGCGUGAUGUGGGACGUCCUACCGGUGGGCUUAGCCUCGCGAGGGGCGGCCCAACUAAUAUCCCGUCGCGGUGCUCUUUACUGAGUGUUGAGUCGGGCCGGUACGUUUACUUUGAACAAAUUAGAGUGCUUAAAGCAGGCUAUCCUCGCCUGAAUACUGCGUGCAUGGAAUAAUGGAAUAGGACCUCGGUUCUAUUUUGUUGGUUUUCGGAACCCCGAGGUAAUGAUUAAUAGGGACAGAUGGGGGCAUUCGUAUUGCGACGUUAGAGGUGAAAUUCUUGGAUCGUCGCAAGACGGACAGAAGCGAAAGCAUUUGCCAAAAAUGUUUUCAUUAAUCAAGAACGAAAGUUAGAGGUUCGAAGGCGAUCAGAUACCGCCCUAGUUCUAACCAUAAACGAUGCCAGCUAGCGAUCCGCCGAAGUUCCUCCGAUGACUCGGCGGGCAGCUUCCGGGAAACCAAAGCUUUUGGGUUCCGGGGGAAGUAUGGUUGCAAAGCUGAAACUUAAAGGAAUUGACGGAAGGGCACCACCAGGAGUGGAGCCUGCGGCUUAAUUUGACUCAACACGGGAAACCUCACCAGGCCCAGACACCGGAAGGAUUGACAGAUUGAUAGCUCUUUCUUGAUUCGGUGGGUGGUGGUGCAUGGGCCGUUCUUAGUUGGUGGAGCGAUUUGUCUGGUUAAUUCCGAUAACGAACGAGACUCUAGCCUGCUAAAUAGGCGUACCUUAUGGUAUCGCGAAGGCCCCCGGCUUCGGCCGGUGGGUUUUUACUACCAACGUACAAACAAAUCUUCUUAGAGGGCACAGGCGG
Molecule: ribosomal RNA, 821 nt
Filed under: uncultured eukaryote
Lineage: Eukaryota
Description: SSU rRNA
Rfam family: Eukaryotic small subunit ribosomal RNA
Source: RNAcentral